Molecule: long non-coding RNA, 1075 nt
Filed under: Heterocephalus glaber (naked mole-rat)
Lineage: Eukaryota; Metazoa; Chordata; Mammalia; Rodentia; Bathyergidae
Description: lncRNA (ENSHGLG00100040876.1)
Source: RNAcentral
CAAGAGGCUUUAAAUUCUCAGCUCAAGCCAGGAUGACCAGCGCAGUUUCUGUCUCCUGAUUGGAACCAGAUGACAGGAGUUGUCCUGGGAGACAGACCAUCCGAUUUGGAGAGGUUCUGGCUGUGACCUCAGGCGUGAACACAUUGCUGAGUGUUGUAGUCAGGGUUUGCGAGGUAAUAGAUUUAAUACAGGACAUAUAAUUUACGGGACUAUUUUAUAAUAGUCACCCAAAAAGUUGAAUGCUGAGGAGUGCCAGAGAUCUGUCCACACCCUAGAGACUCGAAGAAUCCAGCCAAGGGCUUGGAUCCCACAGCAAUGUCUCAUGCUUGUCCGUAUCAAGGAUCGGGACCCAGAAGACCCAAAGGCCAGUGGUGGAGGCCAGAAAGCCUGUGCCACUGGUGAAGGACCUGUUCCACCAGGCUGAGGGACCUGCACUGGAGCCAGGAAGCACUGCUCAAAGCGAAGACUAGAGCUCCCCUGCCGAGAGCAGCCACCACUCCCAGCAACAGCAAGGACCUGAGCUCCUCCAACAACGAGAACAGCCAAGUUCCCCUUAGGAAAACCAGCCGAGCCAAGCUUCUCCAAGAAAAUUGACAGCCGAAGAUCUUCCCCUCCUGUUCUUUUGAUGCAGUUGGCAACAAUCCUCAGGUGGGUCUUCCACGCCCAGACCACACUGAUCCAACUCAGCAGGGCGUCCCACGUUGACCAUUAGUUAAUCCACUACACUGAGCUUCAUGCCCACAGAAAAUGGAUGCUCCUGCCCCGUGGGGCGUUUGGGCAUCAUCCUGAAGGGAGCAGGCAUGACACAAUGCAACCUGAAGCUUGUGCCCUGGGGCUCAAGGGACAGUGGGGAUGCCAGCCAGGACUGGAGGGUGGGGCCCCGAAAUUGCCCAGGGUGGCCUUGAAUUUGUGAUCUUCCUGCUUCAGCCUCCCAGAGUGCUAGAAUUACAGAUGUGUGUCACUGCGCCCAGCGAGGAUCUCUUACUUCUUGUACCUGUACAGCCCAUAUUGCUGAAGCUCAAACACCAAACCCAAGUCCACAUACGUGAUCACAGUGUCAGCUGAAUUCCAACCC